Molecule: microRNA, 22 nt
Filed under: Heliconius melpomene (postman butterfly)
Lineage: Eukaryota; Metazoa; Arthropoda; Insecta; Lepidoptera; Nymphalidae
Description: hme-miR-6312-3p
Source: miRBase by way of RNAcentral
UACCCUGGUCAUAGAGUCCUGA